This is a long non-coding RNA of Pungitius pungitius (ninespine stickleback), 5350 nucleotides long. RefSeq lists it as uncharacterized. NCBI's taxonomy places the organism in Eukaryota, Metazoa, Chordata, Actinopteri, Perciformes, Gasterosteidae. The transcript has 2 exons. The record is from RefSeq and is a predicted model, not a curated record.
UUGUCCUUCGAAGUCUGUUUGUUGCUCGUUUGGAUGCGUUUGGCCUAUUUAUGAUUUGUCCUUCCAUUUAUGCAGUGUGAGGUUUUCUCGGACUCUGUUCUCCUGUGAUAAGACCCGAUUAAAGGGAACCACGGCACACCAGCAGCAGCAGUGCAUCGUCCCUCAUUUCCUCCUGCGCAGCCAGUUGGAGAUGAGAUCUCUCCACAAUAUUUACCCAGGGAAUAAUGAUGUUUGAUCUGACUCUCCUGUGGUGUGUCUCUGCGAGGGCUAUUUUCAACCCACCGCAGCCACCCAGAGAGAGAGAACAGGAGGAAGUGACGAUGACAACGACGACCACUUUGGUCCAGGCAUAAAGGCAUCGCACUUCAACGAUCCAACUGACCUUGACAGCACUCCCCCCGAGGUUGAUCCCUAAUCCUCAUCAAUUAGUCAAUGGUAUAAAUGCUUGCAAAAAAUGCAACACUCCUCCACCUUUGAUCAAAUGAGUGGACUUAGAGAUCAAAAAUGUGUGUGUACAGGCUAUUACUCUGCUGCAGUGGGCUCUGGGAGAGUGCCAAUGAUGAGGCUUUGCAGUUCCUCAGUUGUUGACUUUUAUUUAUCACGACUGCUGCUGCAGUAAUUGAUGAGUGGAUCAAACAGUGUGGAAAAAGAACUGCUGACUUCUUUACUUUUUCUGCUGAAAGGUGACUGUGUCUCUAUUCCCUCUCAGCAGUCAUCUCAAAUUCAAAUCCAAUACUUGGCAAGUAAACUCUUAUUCAAACAGACAGAUUCCGCUCAGAAAAGUUGUUUGGGCAAUAAUUCCUUAGGCUAAACUGUCAGUGUGUUCACAACUCUAGUCCAGCAUGCAUCCGUGUACUGAAUUUGGGGGAUCAUGUCUCAUUUUCAAAUGUCGAAAUAUUAGCAGCUGCAAAAGGUAAAACAGUCAUGGCCCAGUUUCCCCCUAAAUAUUUGUUUUGAAAGCUCCUCAUUGUUUUCCCUAUUGAUUAAAAGAAUGCAGUAAUUACUUUUUCUCGCCCAUUCUUGUGAACUUGUGUAAUGCAACAAAACAAAAUAAUGACAUAAUAUAUGUUUGAAAUGCAAAGCGGCAACGCAGAGCCGGCGCUUUGUUAUUUAUCGUCAUUAUUGUGUGAGGAAACUGCUCCACAAAAUGGAGCAAUGGCUAUUAUCAGGUUGGUAACCAAUAAUUACUUAUCAACUCUGUCUUCAUUAAGCAGCCCCUGUGGAGCAACUGAGCUCAAUAUAGCCCUCCAGGAUCCCCUCCCCUCGCCCCCCCACCAGGAUCCCGCUGCUCACCCUCUACCUCUCGUCAUAUCCCAGUUCCUCUCUUCUCUGCUUUUCAUCCGUUCUUCAAUCUCACCUGGUCUUUGUUGUGCCGUUCUGUCGCUUCCGCUGGCUUCAAUUACGUGUAUUUCAGAGCGGUGAUCACUGUCAUUUUAAAUAAAACAACAUCCUGCUGUUUUAUUUACAUGGCAUGCUGCUCUUUACUUCCCUUACUCUCGCAGGUCUUUCUUUCCCUGAAAAAUUAACCACUUCUCCCUGCACCUCUUUCCAUCAAUCAUCCUGAAGGGGGCUACAAGUACAGAAAAGCUAAAUAGCAAAAGGAGACCGGGCCACUGAAGUCUUUUGGAUCGCAACUGUUGACCAAGCGCCAGACGUGGUGUGCUGUUGGUGACGCAGGACUUGACCUCCAAAAUGCAAACAUUUACGCUCCUGUGGAGCUAAUAUAGUUACACUGCUGAAUGAUGUUCAUGUGUUCACAUUUUAAAAUGUGAUUUGAGUCAUUUGUACCUGAAGCACCUUGUGAAAUAAUAGCUUAUAUACUGGUCACAGUGUUUUGCACUUUCUUUUCAUAUUUAGGGAUCCUCCUACAUUUUGUGUAUUUUCCUCAUUUAUACAUUAAAAAGAUUCCCAGACCCCUGAACUUCCUUUUCAACAGCCUCCUCUCCUGUAAGUGGGGGAAAAGCCAACUGCAGGAGGCACCCGGUAACCACAUGCUACCACAGCUCGGCCUUCCAGCCUCCAACCGUGACACCCUUACACUCAUCCACUCCACAGGGGAAGUGUUGCGCUUUGCUCGCAGACCUCAGUACAAACACAAACAUUUACCCUUGACUAGAUGCUUAUACCUCCCCCAAGCUAUUUUCUCUCAGUUUCACAUGUUUCUUCUCCCCCACACUGCUGUUUUCCACAGAGUUAGUCUUUCUCCUAUCAAAGCUUUCCUCUCCCUCAGGCUACGGCCACACUACAAAAUUUUUGUUUUAAAGGGCAUGUGUGUUGCGCACUAAGCGUUCCCACUGAGCGUCCACACAACGCAGGCAUUUUGUCUUGGGGUUUGAUUCAUAGCAGUCUAGGGCUGUCAACGAAUAUUCUGUAUUCUAAUAUAUAUUCGAAUAGAUGUUAGAUAUUCGAAUGUGAUAAUUAAUAUUGGUUUGUAAAAAGAAAAAAAGACAGCAGCAGCAGCGGUGCAACUGUCUGCUUAGUCGGUGGCGCGCUACUGUAGACUGACUUUAUAUUGCAUGAAUAAAAUACUACAUAGGCUACAACAGUUUCACUGGUUUGAUUGUCGUUGUCAUGCGAAGGAAAAGUUCCAGGUUUACCACAGCACAGCUCGCUCAGAGCACUCAAUGUCGGUUCAAUACUCGUCUAUAUAUGUUAAGAAUAUUUUCUUCACUGCCAUAAAUGCCUUAAAUGGCUUCCACAAAACUCUUGAUCAACUCUUAAUUUGUUUAUUAUUGUCGUUCACUUAAACCGCUGUGCGACGGUGAAAGAGAGUGUGUGUGUGUGCGAACGAGAGGCCAAGGUCUGCGGUCUUGGCCAUUAGUUCAUUUACUUUUUUUUGUGUAGGUAAUAUGUUGCUAAAUAUGUUUAAACUUAAAAGAAAUUACCUUUACAAGUAGUAGUGUGUUAUUGCCGUGCCUAAUGCGCCUAAAUGCGCUGCCGAAUUAGCGGCGGCUUUGCAAAUGCGCGCGUGACUUAUGUCUUCUAUUCAAUCAGAUAUUCAAAUGCGUUUUUUCAAAGCCAAUAUUGGAACGUCAUUUUUGAGCAAUUUUGGCAGCCCUAUAGCAGUCGUGAUGUGUCCUCCAAGUCAUAGUACAGUAUGUCAAAAUGGUGAAAAAGUCAUAGUAUACCAUGUCAAAAAGAAUGAAAAAUAAGUCAUAGUAUAGCGUGUCAAAUUCAUGAAAAAAGGUCAUAGCAUGUAAAAUUGUGAAUAAAGGUCAUAGGAUGUCAAAUAGGUCAUAGUAUAGCAUGUCGAAAUGGUGAAAAAGGUCAAAGCAUGUAAAAUGAAGUCAUAGUAUAGCAUGUGGAAAUGGUAAAAAAAAAAGUCAUAGUAUGUUGAAUAGAAUAAAAAAUGAGUCGUAGUAUAGCAUGUUGAAACGGUAAAAAAAGUCCUACUAUAGCGUGUCCAGGAAAGUCAUACUAUAGCGUGUCGAAAUGGUGGAAAAUGGUCAAAGCAUGUUAAAUGAAGUUAUAGGAUAGUGUGUCGAAAUGGUAAAAAAAAGUCAUAGUAUAGCAUGUCGAAAAUAAUGAUAAAUGAGUCAUAGUGUAGCGUGUCAAAAUCAUGAAAAAAGGUAUUUGAUGUAAAAUUGUGAAUAAAGGUCAUAGGAUGUAAAAUAGGUCAUAAUAUAGCAUGUCGAAAUGGUGAAAAAGGUCAAAGCAUGUAAAAUGAAAUCAUAGUAUAGCAUGUGGAAAUGGUAAAAAAAAGUCAUAGUAUAGUAUGUUGAAUAGAAUAAAAAAUGGGUAAAAAAGGUCAUAGCAUGUUGAAUGAAGUCAUAGUAUAGAGUCAAAGCAUGUAAAAUGAAGUCAUAGUAUAGCAUGUCAAAAUGGUGAAAAAGGUCAAAGCAAGUAAAAUGAAGUAAUAUGAUAGUGUGUUGAAAUGGUAAAAAAAAGUCAUAGUAUAGCAUGUUAAAUAAAAUGAAAAAUGAGUCAUAGUAUAGCAUGGCGAAAUGGUAAAAAAAAGUAUAGCAUUUCGAAAAGAAUGAAAAAUGACUUUGUAUAGGGUGUCAAAAUCGUGAAAAAAGGUCAUAGCAUGUCAAAAUAGUGAAAAAAGGUCAAAGCAUGUUAAAUAAAGUCAUAGUAUACCAUGUCGAAAUUAUAAAAAAGUCAUAGUAUAGCAUGUCGAAUAGAAUAAAAAAUGAGUCAUAGUAUAGCGUGUCAAAUAAAGUCAUAGUAGUGUGUCAACAUGGUUGAAAAUUUGUCAAAGCAAGUAAAAUAAAGUAAUAGGAUAGUGUGUCGAAAUGGUAAAAAAAAGUAAUAGUAUAGCAUGUCAAAAAGAAUGAUAAAUGAGUCAUUGUGUAGCGUGUCAAAAUCAUGAAAAAAGGUAUUUGAUGUAAAAUUUUGAAUAAAGGUCAUAGGAUGUCAAAUAGGUCAUAGUAUAGCAUGUCGAAAUGGUGAAAAAGGUCAAAGCAUGUAAAAUGAAGUCAUAGUAUAGCAUGUCGAAAUGGUAAAAAAAGUCAUUUUAAUAGCAUGUCGAAUAGAAUAAAAAAUGAGGCAUAGUAUGUUAGGAAUUUAAGAAGAAGUGCACCCCUAGCAGAAGUAUGUUACAUGUAUCAAUGUGUUUAGUGUAGAAUUGUAGUUUGUGUGAUGUUUGAUAUUAGAUAUUACAUUUGUAUGUUAAAUGAAGUGAAUGUAUUAUAGUCAAUAAAAUUGUAUAGUCAUGUAAAUCAUAUAAAUACUGUACAUAUUAACAUCCUGUCAUGAUGUAAUGUUAAAACCUGGGGAUAGAAGCUAAUUGCCGUCCUUUAUGGAUUUCUCCCAUCUUUCCCCAAGAGAGGGUUUUUGUUGGGAGUUUUUUCUCCUGUCAGGUAUUAGUUAAGCAACUGGAUGCAAGACAGCCAAAUGAGGCAAAGUAUUGCACCAGAUAAACUGUGAUAAACCAUUAAGUACUGUGAUCUUAUAUGUUGUGUUGUAAUUGAAGUGUACUAGUUACAAGAUGAAGACAAACUAUGUAUACGAGGUUAUAUUCACUCAUUGAGGCAUAAAGCCAAAAUGUUUCUACAUAGAAUGCAUUGGAAUGUGAGGGAGAGAUGACACAGAGAGGGCUUUCAGAUUCACACGUGGCAGUUCACACCUGGAUGUGAAAAGGCUGGACCAGGAAGAGAUACUUGAAGAAGGAGCCAAUGACAUUCAAAUACACCCAGAAGACAACCGCCCCGGGAGCUUUCGAAUCAUCAAAAGGGAAGGAGAACAAUUAGAAUUUUUCUGCAGCCGGUUUGAUAAAUCACCUUUGACUUGGUCGGAGAAUUCUCUAUUUUGCGAAAUAUAUUACUAUUCACGUUGUAUUUCACUUUGUAAAUUGUAUUCCUUAUCACUUUGUUUAGAUAUUAAAUACUUUUUGAUUUUUAAAGUUCAA